RNAcentral lists this ribosomal RNA (451 nucleotides) under uncultured bacterium. RNAcentral's name for it is "bacterial SSU rRNA". It matches the Rfam family "Bacterial small subunit ribosomal RNA", at positions 335 to 783 of the family's 1533-position model. The record is from RNAcentral.
ACUCCUACGGGAGGCAGCAGUGGGGAAUAUUGCACAAUGGGCGCAAGCCUGAUGCAGCCAUGCCGCGUGUGUGAAGAAGGCCUUCGGGUUGUAAAGCACUUUCAGUCGUGAGGAAGGUAGUGUAGUUAAUAGCUGCAUUAUUUGUACGUUAGCGACAGAAGAAGCACCGGCUAACUCCGUGCCAGCAGCCGCGGUAAUACGGAGGUGCGAGCGUUAAUCGGAAUUACUGGGCGUAAAGCGCAUGCAGGUGGUUGUUAAGUCAGAUGUGAAAGCCCGGGGCUCAACCUCGGAAUAGCAUUUGAAACUGGCAGACUAGAGUACUGUAGAGGGGGUAGAAUUUCAGGUGUAGCGGUGAAAUGCGUAGAGAUCUGAAGGAUACCGGUGGCGAAGGCGGCCCCUGGACAGAUACUGACACUCAGAUGCGAAAGCGUGGGAGCAAACAGGAUUAGAU